Non-coding RNA from Stachybotrys elegans, 147 nucleotides. The record is from the annotation of a GenBank genome assembly. Lineage: Eukaryota; Fungi; Ascomycota; Sordariomycetes; Hypocreales; Stachybotryaceae.
GGUCGAUUAGCUCAGUUGGUUAGAGCGUCGUAUGUUUUCGCCUUUCCACACCAUCCAAAGACGCAUUACUGACAUCACCAGGUACUAAUAUAACAUCAGUUAUAUACAGUGAUGCGAAGGUCAUGGGUUCGACCCCCAUAUUGACCA